Non-coding RNA from Misgurnus anguillicaudatus (oriental weatherfish), 2292 nucleotides. The record is from RefSeq and is a predicted model, not a curated record. Lineage: Eukaryota; Metazoa; Chordata; Actinopteri; Cypriniformes; Cobitidae.
ACACAGCAAAAUAUCCAGUGUUGUUUGGAGUUGUUUUUCCGGUGUUAAUUUACCAGAGUUAAAAAGUGUUGAUUCUGGUGUUAAUUUAAACGACUUAAACACUUGCAGUGUAAAUCAAUGGUCAGAGUUAGUGUAAUUACCAUGAGUUGACCUUAAACCACACUAGUAGAGAGUAUAUUCAAUUUCCGGUCUUCGCACGUUACUUCCUUUUUGAUUAAUGGCGGACAAGCACAUGGAGACAGCAGUGUUCUAACAGGUAUAAUUAUUUUAUUCCAUCAACUUUCUGAUUUGUCCUAGUACAUUUCUAAUCAUUUUUUAAAUAAUAGUUAUAAGCUUAAAGACAUUUUAAGAGUACUAAAAUAAUUUUCUUUUAGGUAACACGUCAAAUAACGACAGGAACCGAGGGAAGCUGUGUGUGUGUUUGGAUAGCUCUGGCAAAUUAAGCUUUCGUCAUGCUGGUUAAAGUUCAGUGUAAAGGUGUGAAGAAAUGGGUAAAAUUGCUUGACGAUUUUACAUUCCAGGAUUUUCUUACUGAAGUUAAAAACAAAUUUGGAUUUACAAGAACUACAUCUCUUCAAGUCUUUGACGACACUGACACCAAUGUGGAGGAGGACGUCUUCCAAGAAUUGAUUCAAGCCAGUCCAGAUAUGUUUUACUAUAAAUCAGGACUUUGCUCUUCUGUUCAAUGCUGAAACAUCCAACAAGUUGCUUGAGAGGUGGGAGACAGCAUUCAAGCACAAGAUCAUCAAUGAAGCCAGGUCUCUUACUUCGACAGCAGAAAUUCAAUGUCUUCUCAAUGCAGCAGUGGGAGAAGGAUCUGAAAAUGAUUGGGACAGUGACAUGUCAUCCAUCCUGCUACUAUUGCAUCUCCUGCCACCUUCUUCGGGAAGGAAGAAGACCAAGAUCAGAGCACAAGAGCUGGGAUUUCCUUGUUAAAUUCAUCAUUUGUUCUGAUAAAGAACUCCUGCACCACUAUUGAAGACCAUCUCAGUGGCAGGCAGAGCCACCAGCCAUACCUGCUUGGAUUAGGAAGGAUUAAGAGCAGAAUCGACAACUUCUAUGUGGUUGUGGACAAACAUCUCAUCCCCUGUGCUGGAACCAGCUCCUUGAGUGCUAUAGAUGAACUAUUCAAAGUCCACUACGUUUUCAACCUGUCAUACGAGGAAGCCCUUGUCAACAGACUACAAUCUACAACAUCGAUGUUGGACUUUCUAGUGAGUCUCUCUGAGAAAAUGAGUUACGUGCAAAGCUUUUAAACUAGGUUAAAUGUUAAGGUGUUUUUGUGGUCAAAGUUUGCAUUCAAGUAGCCACACUUUGAUAUCUCACUUGAGAGUCACGCACAGUUUUUAUCCUUCUUUAAAGUUUAAGCUGUUAUGUGCACAAGAAAUGCUACAAAAUCCUGCACAGUCCAUCUUAAAUUAGAUGGGACAGAAUAUAGACAAGACCUGAUUGUGUGUAAUGAAAUUGAGAAUGAAAUCCCCAUUUUCAGUCAGAUUCAGAGAAUACUUUUAAUCAAUGACACUGUGUAUUUUAUUGUUAACAAACUUGUAACGGAGCAUUUCUCGGAGCAUCGCCAUGCAUUUAAAGUUUAGAGGUACUGUGGGUUGAAUGAACUUGUCAAAGCCAGCAAUUUGAAGUUCUUCAGGCCUUUUGAUCUACAUAUGGGUCAGAUGGUGAAUAUGUUGUUCCCUCAUGUAUGUUAGUUUGAGAUGUUAGUUUGAGCUAAAAUAUACAUUUCAAACUGAUACAUUGUGUUGGCUGUUCUUUAAUUUAAUGUAUUUAGUUGAACCAAGUGUAGAUUUAAAUACCUAAAUAUGGGGAUGUAUGAACACUACAUUAGUUUAAAAAAAACCUUUGUGUUAUGAGAACACUAUAUUAGUUAAUAAAUAACUUGUUUGGUGUUAUGUGAACACUAUAUUAGUUUUAAAAACUCCCCUGGUGUUAUGUGAACACUACAUUAGUUUAAAAAAAUAACGCUCUUAGUGUUAUGUGAACACUAAAUUAGUUUAAAAAAAACUCCCAUGGUGUUAUGUGAACACUACAUUAGUUUAAAAAAUAACUCUCUUAGUGUUACGUGAACACUAAAUUAGUUUAAAAAGAACUCCUGUAGUGUUAAACUUUUGACACAACUAGUGUGGUUGUAGCACUCACUUGGUGUAAAUGAAACUCAUCAAUGGUGUUAACUGUGAACACUCAUAGUGUUAUUUUUAACAUUUUGUGAGUGUUAAAAAAUUAACACUUUUUAAAGUGUAAAUUUAACUCGAUUUAGUGUGGACUCAUAUAAACUCUGGA